Molecule: microRNA precursor, 93 nt
Filed under: Saccoglossus kowalevskii
Lineage: Eukaryota; Metazoa; Hemichordata; Enteropneusta; Harrimaniidae
Description: microRNA sko-mir-4828a precursor
Source: miRBase by way of RNAcentral
CCUGGGGCAUACCCUUCAGUCUGGAUGUGUAUUUUCAUCUGUUGGUAUCAAUCUAUACAGUAAAUACCAUUCAGAUUGCAGGGUGGUCCUUCC